Molecule: ribosomal RNA, 254 nt
Filed under: uncultured bacterium
Lineage: Bacteria
Description: partial 16S ribosomal RNA
Rfam family: Bacterial small subunit ribosomal RNA
Source: RNAcentral
UACGUAGGGGGCGAGCGUUGUCCGGAUUCAUUGGGCGUAAAGAGCUCGUAGGCGGCUUGGCAAGUCGGGUGUGAAAACUCCAGGCUCAACCUGGAGACGCCACCCGAUACUGCUAUGGCUAGAGUUCUGGAGGGGAUAGCGGAAUUCCUGGUGUAGCGGUGAAAUGCGUAGAUAUCAGGAGGAACACCGGUGGCGAAGGCGGCGAGCUGGAUCACUACUGACGCUGAAGAACGAAAGCUAGGGGAGCAAACAGG